RNAcentral lists this ribosomal RNA (486 nucleotides) under Ophiacantha aster. RNAcentral describes it as "Ophiacantha sp. a JSAHN-2021 partial large subunit ribosomal RNA". It matches the Rfam family "Bacterial large subunit ribosomal RNA", at positions 1819 to 2597 of the family's 2925-position model. Lineage: Eukaryota; Metazoa; Echinodermata; Ophiuroidea; Amphilepidida; Ophiacanthidae. The record is from RNAcentral.
UGCUUCCGGAUUAAGAUCGAGAGGUACGACCUGCCCGGUGACAUUAGUUAAACGGCUGCAGUACUCUGACUGUGCAAAGGUAGCAUAAUCAUUUGCCUAGUAAUUUUAGGCUGGAAUCAACGGUUAGACGAGGAACUGGCUGUCUCCCUAUAGUUUAUUUGAAAUUAGUUUUGAAGUGAAGAUACUUCAAUAAAAUAGUGGGACGAGAAGACCCUAUUGAGCUUUAGCUCAAUUAAAAGUUUAUCAUUUUAGGAGAGUUUGGAUUGGGGCAAUUCUUUUUAUAAUAAAACAAAAGUUUGUUUAAAUGAAUUGAUACUAAUCAGAUCCUAAAUAUUUAGAAGUAAGAAAAAGUUACCAUAGGGAUAACAGCGUUAUUUUUCUUGAGAGUACAUAUUGACAGAGAAGUUUGCGACCUCGAUGUUGGAUUAAGAUACCCAGGACGUGCAGCAGCUUCCAAUGGUUGGUUUGUUCAACCAUUAAAAUCUU